This 301-nucleotide ribosomal RNA is filed under the name uncultured bacterium. Its description in RNAcentral is "partial 16S ribosomal RNA". It matches the Rfam family "Bacterial small subunit ribosomal RNA", at positions 509 to 807 of the family's 1533-position model. The record is from RNAcentral.
CAGCAGCCACGGUAAUACGAAGGGGGCUAGCGUUGUUCGGAUUUACUGGGCGUAAAGCGCACGUAGGCGGACUUUUAAGUCAGGGGUGAAAUCCCGGGGCUCAACCCCGGAACUGCCUUUGAUACUGGAAGUCUUGAGUAUGGUAGAGGUGAGUGGAAUUCCGAGUGUAGAGGUGAAAUUCGUAGAUAUUCGGAGGAACACCAGUGGCGAAGGCGGCUCACUGGACCAUUACUGACGCUGAGGUGCGAAAGCGUGGGGAGCAAACAGGAUUAGAUACCCCGGUAGUCCCUGUCUCUUAUAC